Molecule: ribosomal RNA, 488 nt
Filed under: uncultured bacterium
Lineage: Bacteria
Description: partial 16S ribosomal RNA
Rfam family: Bacterial small subunit ribosomal RNA
Source: RNAcentral
UGGGGAAUAUUGCACAAUGGGCGAAAGCCUGAUGCAGCAACGCCGCGUGAGUGAUGAAGGCCUUCGGGUUGUAAAGCUCUGUCUUUUGGGACGAUAAUGACGGUACCAAAGGAGGAAGCCACGGCUAACUACGUGCCAGCAGCCGCGGUAAUACGUAGGUGGCAAGCGUUGUCCGGAUUUACUGGGCGUAAAGGAUGCGUAGGCGGAUUUUUAAGUGAGAUGUGAAAAACCCUAAGCUUAACUUGGGGACUGCAUUUCAUACUGGAAAAUCUAGAGUGCGGGAGAGGAGAAUGGAAUUCCUAGUGUAGCGGUGAAAAUGCGUAGAGAUUAGGAAGAACACCAGUGGCGAAGGCGAUUCUCUGGACCGUAACUGACGCUGAGGCAUGAAAAGCGUGGGUAGCAAAACAGGAUUAGAUACCCUGGUAGUCCACGCCGUAAAACGAUGAGUACUAGGUGUAGGAGGUAUCGACCCCUUCUGUGCCGCAGUU